RNAcentral lists this ribosomal RNA (491 nucleotides) under uncultured bacterium. RNAcentral describes it as "partial 16S ribosomal RNA". It matches the Rfam family "Bacterial small subunit ribosomal RNA", at positions 29 to 507 of the family's 1533-position model. The record is from RNAcentral.
GUGAACGCUGGCGGUAGGCCUAACACAUGCACGUCGCACGGCAGCACAGUAAGAGCUUGCUCUUACGGGUGGCGAGUGGCGGACGGGUGAGGAAUACAUCGGAAUCUACUUUUUCGUGGGGGAUAACGUAGGGAAACUUACGCUAAUACCGCAUACGACCUACGGGUGAAAGCAGGGGAUCUUCGGACCUUGCGCGAUUGAAUGAGCCGAUGUCGGAUUAGCUAGUUGGCGGGGUAAAGGCCCACCAAGGCGACGAUCCGUAGCUGGUCUGAGAGGGUGAUCAGCCACACUGGAACUGAGACACGGUCCAGACUCCUACGGGAGGCAGCAGUGGGGAAUAUUGGACAAUGGGCGCAAGCCUGAUCCAGCCAUACCGCGUGGGUGAAGAAGGCCUUCGGGUUGUAAAGCCCUUUUGUUGGGAAAGAAAAGCAGCAGGUUAAUACCCCGCUGUUCUGACGGUACCCAAAGAAUAAGCACCGGCUAACUUCGUG